CUUGGUUGAUUCUACUAGUAGUCAUAUGCUUGUCUCAAAGAUUAAGCCAUGCAUGUCUAAGUAUGAACUAAUUCAGACUGUGAAACUGUGGAUGGCUUAUCAAAUCAAUUAUAGAUUUUUUGAUGGUAUCAUACUAUUCAGAUAAUCGUAGUAAUUCUAGAUCUAAUACGUGAACCAAGUCUCGACUCUUUGGAAGGGAUGCAUUUUUUAGAUAAAAGGUCGGCGCGGGCUUGCCCGCUUCUCUGGUGCUGGCGAUGCUUCAUUCAAAAUUCUGCCCUAUCAACUUUUGAUGGUAGGAUAGAGGCCUACCAUGGUGGUGACGGGUGAUGGGGAAUUAGGGUUUGGUUCUGGAGAGGGAGCCCGAGAAACGGCUACCACAUCCAAGGAAGGAAGCAGGUGCGCAAAUUAGCCAAUGCUGAAAUGGGGAGGUAGAGGUAAUAAAUAACAAUACUAGGCUCAUCGAGUCUGGUAAUUGGAAUGAGUACAAUCUAAAUCCCUUAACAAGGAUCCAUUGGAGGGCAAGUCUGGUGCCAGCAGCUUGGUAAUUCCAGCUCCAAUAGCAUAUAUUUAAGUUGUUGCAGUUAAAAAGCUCGUAGUUGGAUCUUGGGUCGUAAAGGUCGGUCCGCCCACUUGGUGUGCACCUACCCUUCCAUCCCUUUUGUUGGUAGGGUGCUCCUAGCCUUAAUUGGUUGGGUCGUGGCUCUAGCGUUGUUACUUUGAAAAAAUUAGAGUUCUCAAAGCAAGCUUAUGCUCUGAAUACAUUAGCAUGGAAUAACAUGAUAGGAGUCUGGUCCUAUUGUGUUGGCCUUCGGGACUAGAGUAAUGAUUAAUGGAGAUUGUCGGGGGCAUUCGUAUUUCAUUGUCAGAGGUGAAAUUCUUGGAUUUACGAAAGAUGGACCACUACAAAAUCAUUUUCCAAGGAUGUUUUCAUUAAUCAAGACAAAAGUUGGGGGCUCGAAGACGAUCAGGUACCAUCCUAGUCUCAACCAUAAACGAUGUUGACUAGGGAUCGGUGAAUGUUGCUCUAAGGACUCCACCAGCACUUUCUGAGAAAUCAGAGUGUUUGGGUUCUAGGGGAGCAUGGUCGCAAGGCUAAAACUUAAAGGAAUUGAUGGAAGGGCACCACCAAGAGUGGAGCUUGCGGCUUAAUUUGACUCAACACGGGGAAACUUACUAGGUCCAGAAAUAGUAAGGAUUGACAGAUUGAGAGCUCUUUCUUGAUUCGAUGGGUGGUGGUGCAUGGCCGUUCUUAGUUGGUCGAGCGAUUUGUCUGGUUAAUUCUAAUAAUGAAUGGAACCUCAGCCUACUAACUAGCUACAAGGAGGUUCCCCUUUGCGGCCAGAUUCUUAGAGGGACUAUGGCCGUUUAGGCCAUGGAAGUUUGAGGCAAUAACAUGUCUAUGAUGCCCUUAGGUGUUCUGGGUUGAACGCGUGCUACACUGAUGUAGCCAAUGAUUUUUUCUUCCCGGUUCGAGAGGAUCAGGAAAUCUUCUCAAAUUGCAUCAUGAUGGGGAUAGACCAUUGCAAUUAUUGGUCUUCAAUGAGGAAUUCCUAGUAAGCGUGUGUCAUCAACUCAUGUUGACUACGUCCCUGCCCUUUGUACACACCGCUCGUCGCUCCUACCGAUUGAAUGAUCCAGUGAAGUGUUCAGAUUGCGUCGACGAUGGUGAUUUGCUGUCGUCGAUGUCGUGAUAAGUUAAUUGAACCUUAUAAUUUAGAGGAAGGAGAAUUCGUAACAAGGUUACCGUAGGUGAACCUAUGGUAG
RNAcentral lists this ribosomal RNA (1764 nucleotides) under Pinus taeda (loblolly pine). Its description in RNAcentral is "SSU rRNA". It matches the Rfam family "Eukaryotic small subunit ribosomal RNA". The record is from RNAcentral. Lineage: Eukaryota; Viridiplantae; Streptophyta; Pinopsida; Pinales; Pinaceae.